UACGAAGGGGGCUAGCGUUGUUCGGAUUUACUGGGCGUAAAGCGCACGUAGGCGGAUUCUUAAGUCAGGGGUGAAAUCCUGGAGCUCAACUCCAGAACUGCCUUUGAUACUGAGGAUCUUGAGUUCGGGAGAGGUGAGUGGAACUGCGAGUGUAGAGGUGAAAUUCGUAGAUAUUCGCAAGAACACCAGUGGCGAAGGCGGCUCACUGGCCCGAUACUGACGCUGAGGCACGAAAGCGUGGGGAGCAAACAGG
This 253-nucleotide ribosomal RNA is filed under the name uncultured bacterium. Its description in RNAcentral is "partial 16S ribosomal RNA". It matches the Rfam family "Bacterial small subunit ribosomal RNA", at positions 524 to 776 of the family's 1533-position model. The record is from RNAcentral.